Molecule: ribosomal RNA, 377 nt
Filed under: uncultured bacterium
Lineage: Bacteria
Description: bacterial SSU rRNA
Rfam family: Bacterial small subunit ribosomal RNA
Source: RNAcentral
AUACGUAGGUGGCGAGCGUUGUCCGGAAUUACUGGGUGUAAAGGGCGUGUAGGCGGGGAGGCAAGUCAGAUGUGAAAUACCGGGGCUUAACUCCGGGGCUGCAUCUGAAACUGUUUUUCUUGAGUGCCGGAGAGGAAAGCGGAAUUCCCAGUGUAGCGGUGAAAUGCGUAGAUAUUGGGAGGAACACCAGUGGCGAAGGCGGCUUUCUGGACGGUAACUGACGCUGAGGCGCGAAAGCGGGGGGAGCAAACAGGAUUAGAUACCCUGGUAGUCCACGCCGUAAACGAUGGAUACUAGGUGUAGGAGGUAUCGACCCCUUCUGUGCCGGAGUUAACACAAUAAGUAUCCCACCUGGGGAGUACGGCCGCAAGGUUGAA